RNAcentral lists this transfer RNA (60 nucleotides) under Vibrio vulnificus. Its description in RNAcentral is "partial tRNA-Pro". It matches the Rfam family "tRNA", at positions 2 to 58 of the family's 71-position model. From Rfam's summary of the family: Transfer RNA (tRNA) molecules are approximately 80 nucleotides in length. Their secondary structure includes four short double-helical elements and three loops (D, anti-codon, and T loops). Further hydrogen bonds mediate the characteristic L-shaped molecular structure. tRNAs have two regions of fundamental functional importance: the anti-codon, which is responsible for specific mRNA codon recognition, and the 3' end, to which the tRNAs corresponding amino acid is attached (by aminoacyl-tRNA synthetases). tRNAs cope with the degeneracy of the genetic code in two manners: having more than one tRNA (with a specific anti-codon) for a particular amino acid; and 'wobble' base-pairing, i.e. permitting non-standard base-pairing at the 3rd anti-codon position. Lineage: Bacteria; Pseudomonadati; Pseudomonadota; Gammaproteobacteria; Vibrionales; Vibrionaceae. The record is from RNAcentral.
GGUGAAUAGCGCAGCUUGGUAGCGCAUCUGGUUUGGGACCAGAGGGUCGGGGGUUCGAAU